This is a long non-coding RNA of Salvelinus fontinalis (brook trout), 3846 nucleotides long. RefSeq lists it as uncharacterized. NCBI's taxonomy places the organism in Eukaryota, Metazoa, Chordata, Actinopteri, Salmoniformes, Salmonidae. The transcript is spliced from 4 exons. The record is from RefSeq and is a predicted model, not a curated record.
UCGUUUGAGGUCGUAGCGGGAUUUCUUAGUGGCAGCUCCUUGAAAGCGGCAGCUCUUUAGCUCAGUGCAGAUGUUGCCUGUAAUCCAUGGCUUUCGGUUGGGAUAUAUUGUUAGAUACUACUGAUACUACUGAAUCUGAGAACAUAUUCCAGUCUGUGUUAGCGAAACAGUCCUGUAGCUUAGCAUCACGCUUCAUCUAACCACUUCCAUAUUGAGUGUGUCACUGGUACUUCCUGUUUGAGUUUUUACUUAUAAGCAGGAAUCAGGAGGAUUGAGUUGUGGUCUGAUUUGUCUAAAGGAUGGAGAGCCUUGUAUGUGUCUCUGUGUAGAGUAGAGGUGAUAUAGAGUUUUAUAUGUGUCUCUGUGUAGAGUAGAGGUAAUCUAGAGUUGUAUAUGUGUCUCUGUGUAGAGUAGAGGUGAUCUAGAGUUUUAUAUGUGUCUCUGUGUGUAGAGUGGAGGUCAUCUAGAGUUUUAUAUGUGUCUCUGUGUAGAGUAGAGGUAAUCUAGAGUUUUAUAUGUGUCUCUGUGUAGAGUAGAGGUCAUCUAGAGUUUUAUAUGUGUCUCUGUGUAGAGUAGAGGUAAUCUAGAGUUUUAUAUGUGUCUCUGUGUAGAGUAGAGGUGAUCUAGAGUUUUAUAUGUGUCUCUGUGUAGAGUAGAGGUAAUCUAGAGUUUUAUAUGUGUCUCUGUGUAGAGUAGAGGUCAUCUAGAGUUUUAUAUGUGUCUCUGUGUAGAGUAGAGGUCAUCUAGAGUUUUAUAUGUGUCUCUGUGUAGAGUAGAGGUAAUCUAGAGUUUUAUAUGUGUCUCUGUGUAGAGUAGAGGUAAUCUAGAGUUUUAUAUGUGUCUCUGUGUAGAGUAGAGGUCAUCUAGAGUUUUAUAUGUGUCUCUGUGUAGAGUAGAGGUCAUCUAGAGUUUUAUAUGUGUCUCUGUGUAGAGUAGAGGUAAUCUAGAGUUUUAUAUGUGUCUCUGUGUAGAGUAGAGGUCAUCUAGAGUUUUAUAUGUGUCUCUGUGUAGAGUAGAGGUAAUCUAGAGUUUUAUAUGUGUCUCUGUGUAGAGGUAAUCUGGAGUUUUAUAUGUGUCUCUGUGUAGAGUAGAGGUAAUCUAGAGUUUUAUAUGUGUCUCUGUGUAGAGUAGAGGUAAUCUAGAGUUUUAUAUGUGUCUCUGUGUAGAGUAGAGGUAAUCUAGAGUUUUAUAUGUGUCUCUGUGUAGAGUAGAGGUCAUCUAGAGUUUUAUAUGUGUCUCUGUGUAGAGUAGAGGUGAUAUAGAGUUUUAUAUGUGUCUCUGUGUAGAGUAGAGGUCAUCUAGAGUUUUAUAUGUGUCUCUGUGUAGAGUAGAGGUCAUCUAGAGUUUUAUAUGUGUCUCUGUGUAGAGUAGAGGUCAUCUAGAGUUUUAUAUGUGUCUCUGUGUGGAGUAUUGUCUACUCUGGUUGACAGGUGGUAAAGAUGAGAUAAAACUCAUUUCAGUUUCCCCACCUCUGGAUGUCCAUUUUCUUCUUGACUUAUCCCUAUACCGAUUAUUGUGGUGGUGAAGAAAAAGAUUGGAAAACUCUCUUGGUAAAUAUUAUUGUCUGCAGUUUAUCAUGAGAUAUUCUAACUCAGGUGAGCAAAAACUCGAGACUUCCUUAACAUUAGAAAUCUCUCCCAAACUGUUGUUAAUAAUCAGUAUUGUGUGUGUGUGUUUCCAGAUCACCUUUUCAGACCCAGAGAUAGAGGCAUUACAGGGAAGGAGAUGCAGCUCAGAACCAGACAGAACUAUAACAAUCUGCCAGAGGUGAGGAGGAAACAGGAGGAAGAGAAGAGGAGGGAGGACUUCCUGACUAACAGGCUGAGAGCAGAUCUCUUCAAAAAGAAACUGUUAGAACAGAUCCUUCAAAGGGGUAGUCGCUGAGUGAAGCCAAGGGUGAAUGGUCCGAGCGUACGUGAUCCCCCUCCUCCUUCCAGCAUACUGCCUUACUUUGAGAGACCCAACAACCAUCGAGACGGACUGGCGAUUAUCAUAACGACAGUAUUAAUACACAUUAUAAUGCUUUGAGAGACCCAACAACCAUCAAGACGGACUGACGAUUAUCAUAACGACAGUAUUAAUACACAUUAUAAUGCUUUGAGAGACCCAACAACCAUCAAGACGGACUGACGAUUAUAAUACACAUUAUAAUUAAGCAGCAUCAUUUUUAUAAAAUUAUAAACAAAUUUUAAAAAAUUGUAGUAAAAAUGGGUGUCAUUAGAAAUGAAACCAAACGAUGUUAUAAUGAUAAUUAUGUAAUGUAUAAUUAUGUAAUGUAUAAUUAUGUAAUGUAUAAUUAUAAUAAUGUAUAAAUAUGUAAUGUAUAAUUAUGUAAUGUAUAAUUAUGUAAUGUAUAAUUAUGUAAUGUAUAAUUAUAAUAAUAUAAUGUCCUUCUAACGUUUAAUUAAUAUAUUUUCAUUAUCAUAUUACUGUUGUUAUGAUCAAAACCUGUUUGAUUUACAGGAGCACACUGGUCUUCCUGUUUCACUGCUCUAAGCCAAUCGUAUCGAACUACUGAAAGCUCCGCUGAAUGUCAGCCUGCUUCACCAGAAGCUUUCUGAGGGUCUGGAAAAAAAAAGGUGUAGAAUACGGGUUUUAGUUGUGAGAUUACAUUGUAAUGAAUGCUGCUGUUCUAUGUUAUCUAUGCAUAGUGGGCUUUGUACUGUAUUGAAGCCUUCCAUUAAAACACUGUAUCGUUGGCUCCACUAAAUGCUGCUCUUCUAUGUUAUCUAUGUUAUCCUGCUUGUUUAUAUUAUUCAACUUGAUUUAGCAGGUUAAGUUAGUAAGAACAAAUUCUUAUUUACAACUUCGGCCAAUGUGGUCUAGGGUGGGUUCUGUGGUCUAGGGUGGUACAUGGGGUCUAGGGUGGGUUCUGUGGUCUAGGGUGGGUUCUGUGGUCUAGGGUGGGUUCUGUGGUCUAGGGUGGUACAUGGGGUCUAGGGUGGUAGAUGUGGUCUAGGGUGGGUUCUGUGGUCUAGGGUGGGUUCUGUGGUCUAGGGUGGUACAUGGGGUCUAGGGUGGGUUCUGUGGUCUAGGAUGGUACAUGAGGUCUAGGGUGGGUUCUGUGGUCUAGGGUGGUAGAUGUGGUCUAGGGUGGUUUCUGUGGUCUAGGGUGGUCUAGUGGUCUAGGGUGGUUUCUGUGGUCUAGGGUGGUCUAGUGGUCUAGGGUGGUUUCUGUGGUCUAGGGUGGUCUAGUGGUCUAGGGUGGUCUAGUGGUCUAGGGUGGUUUCUGUGGUCUAGGGUGGUCUAGUGGUCUAGGGUGGUCUAGUGGUCUAGGGUGGUCUAGUGGUCUAGGGUGGUUUCUGUGGUCCCUGCCAUCAUUCAGAAUUUCCAUCAGAACAUGGUCUGCAGACUGAAUCUGGAGACUCAAUCUGGAGACUGAAUCUGGAGACUGAAUCUGGAGACUGAAUCUGGAGACUGAAUCUGCAGACUGAAUCUGGAGACUGAAUCUGCAGACUGAAUCUGGAGACUGAAUCUGCAGACUGAAUCUGGAGACUGAAUCUGGAGACUGAAUCUGGAGACUGAAUCUGCAGACUGAAUCUGGAGACUGAAUCUGCAGACUGAAUCUGGAGACUGAAUCUGCAGACUGAAUCUGGAGAUUGAAUCUGCAGACUGGAUCUGGAGACUGGAUCUGGAGACUGAAUCUGGAGACUGAAUCUGCAGACUGAAUCUGCAGACUGGAUCUGCAGACUGAAUCUGGAGACUGAAUCUGCAGACUGAAUCUGGAGACUGCCAUCUACUUGCUUACUGUCUACUUGUGUAUCGACAUGCCUGACUUGUUGUGUGUGUGGGUGACUAAUGACUGUUCCAUGUAAAUAUUAAAUAUAUACAUCGUACUCAUCUUAA